CGCAACCAUAAAAGGGUGGUGAGAAAAGUUAUAAAAAGUUAAAAUAUAUAUAUAUAUUAAAAAAAAAAACAGAUCUCCUAUGCAAUAUGUUAGUAUGAUAAAGGCUCUCUUUCGUUACAUCCAAAGGUCAAAUUCACCCCAAUGCGGUACCUUGCCAUGUUAAUUCUUGGCCAAUUACAUCACUACUUUUCAAUUAUGCACAUGUCAAUUACGAACGGAUGUUCCCUCUUACAAGAGGACUAUGUCUUCUCGUUGCCAAGAACCUGACGUUUGUGAUCCUACAUGAUUCCAAUUGGUAACUCGAGUACCUCAUCCCUUCCCCAUUUUUUUCCAACACAACUUGUUUUUGUCUUGUUUCAUUUCAAGGGCGGGAGAAUUUAAGGUAUUUUAAAACUCUUUUCAGGCUUUACUCAUUGGUUGAUUAAUUUACACAGGAGUUUAUCUGAUAACAAUAUUGCAUUCUUAACUAAUGGAGUGUUUGGCAACCUGCGUCUGAAAACCUUGUCAUUAAAUUCAAACUCUAUCAAAUCUCUACCCGACGGAGUGUUUGCUAAUCUGAAAAGUCUGGGAUACUUAGAUUUAAGUCUAAAUGCUCUUACACACCUAACUAAGGGGGUAUUUGAGACACUGCAUGAGUUGCAAGUUCUGAACUUGUUUUCAAACAGGAUUGAAAACCUUAUCGCUGGUGUUUUUCCUCUUCCGAGCUUAGAAUAUCUGUAUGUUGAGAGCUAUUCUUUAAGCACGAGUUUGAUCUUUGUGAAAUAAAUCGACUUUUAUUUGGAAUUGGGAGUGACUUUCAUUUCGAAACGAUUGCCACUCAAGAAUGCCAAGAAUUUCUUUUUCUACAUACUAAUUCAUCUUAGCACAGUCCAGUUAUUUUUAUGUUAUAUAUUCAUAUGCA
This is a long non-coding RNA of Orbicella faveolata, 901 nucleotides long. The record is from RefSeq and is a predicted model, not a curated record. NCBI's taxonomy places the organism in Eukaryota, Metazoa, Cnidaria, Anthozoa, Scleractinia, Merulinidae.